RNAcentral lists this ribosomal RNA (406 nucleotides) under uncultured bacterium. RNAcentral's name for it is "bacterial SSU rRNA". It matches the Rfam family "Bacterial small subunit ribosomal RNA", at positions 355 to 758 of the family's 1533-position model. The record is from RNAcentral.
UGAGGAAUAUUGGUCAAUGGGCGCAAGCCUGAACCAGCCAUCCCGCGUGCAGGAAGACGGCCCUAUGGGUUGUAAACUGCUUUUCCAGGGGGAGAAUUUUUCUGUCGUGACAGGAAUUGACGGUACCCUGGGAAUAAGCAUCGGCUAACUCCGUGCCAGCAGCCGCGGUAAUACGGAGGAUGCGAGCGUUAUCCGGAUUUAUUGGGUUUAAAGGGUGCGUAGGCGGAUUGAUAAGUCAGUGGUGAAAACCUGCAGCUUAACUGUAGGCUUGCCGUUGAUACUGUCAGUCUUGAGUGUGGUCAAGGUAGGCGGAAUGUGUAAUGUAGCGGUGAAAUGCUUAGAUAUUACACAGAACACCGAUUGCGAAGGCAGCUUACUGGGCCAUUACUGACGCUGAUGCACGAAA